CUCCCUCUUCCCUCGCCUUUUCCUUCUCCAAAGGGCACGAUUUUCCUUUUCCUUUUCCUUCGCCAUUGAUUUUUCUAAUUCAGUUGAAGCUGAAAUAAUCUUUGUCCCAUCUCUCCCCCGCCCUCCCCCGCUCCGAAGAAGAUUUUAAUUCGUUCUGUUUUUUUAUUGGACUUUUUAUCCAUCACCUAUUGAUUAUGGUGAAUUUUCAAAGAGCAUAUGCUCAUCAAUUAACGAGUGCAUUUGCCACGGAAUCCCAGAUUCACGUCCACUUGAGGGUUACCAUGGUGACACAUCAACGAUGUUCUUUGCAGGAAAUGUGAUGAGGAAGCCAAAAACUUGGUAAUUGCAAGAGAGAUAUUACAGAAUAGCUUCAUUUUUAGGUCUACUGGUGGCCAAUCAUAAGUAGCAGAUGAUUUUCACAAUUUAGCUUCAUUUCAUACUUUUGCGAGUUUGCCUACAAGUAGUUCUAUUUCCAGUAGACAUGAAGGUACUAUGAGAGCUAUGGUGCUUAAUAGAUCAAUAGCUAUAUUGAUCAAACUCUCCUAAAUAUUGUCGUACUCAUGUUGGAUCCUUUAAAAAGAUAGUACUUAUGGGGGAUUUGACAUGCACUCGUAUGCUGGUAUGAAGAAUUCAAGAAACAUAUAUCAAUAGUCUUUAUGUGC
Capsicum annuum is the source of this 662-nucleotide long non-coding RNA. RefSeq lists it as uncharacterized. The record is from RefSeq and is a predicted model, not a curated record. Lineage: Eukaryota; Viridiplantae; Streptophyta; Magnoliopsida; Solanales; Solanaceae. The transcript is spliced from 3 exons.